This 449-nucleotide ribosomal RNA is filed under the name Neoscona crucifera. Its description in RNAcentral is "partial 16S large subunit ribosomal RNA". It matches the Rfam family "Bacterial large subunit ribosomal RNA", at positions 1831 to 2601 of the family's 2925-position model. Lineage: Eukaryota; Metazoa; Arthropoda; Arachnida; Araneae; Araneidae. The record is from RNAcentral.
UUCUUAUUGAAUUUAUAAUAAGUAUUACCUGCCCAAUGAAUAUUUAAAUAGCCGCGGAAAUUUAACCGUGCUAAGGUAGCAUAAUCAUUAGCCUCUUAAUUAGAGGCUCGUAUGAAUGGUAGAACAUUUCAACUACUAUAUCACUUAUAUUAUUUUAAAUUAAAUUAAGAAUCAAAAUGUUCUUAUAAAUUAAAUAGACGACAAGACCCUAUUGAACUUUACUUUAGUUUAGCUGGGGCAGCUAAUAAAUCUUUAUUUUUAUUUUUAAUAUUUAUAUAAAUGACCCAAUAAAAUUGAGUUCAUGAACAAGUUACCAUAGGGAUAACAGCGUAAUAUAUUUCUAAAGUUCUUAUUUAAAAAUAUGAUUGCGACCUCGAUGUUGAAUUAAUGUAACUUUACAAAUGCAAUAGUUUUAAAAGUAGGUCUGUUCGACCUUUAAAUCAUUACAU